RNAcentral lists this unclassified non-coding RNA (395 nucleotides) under soil metagenome. Its description in RNAcentral is "partial contains 5.8S ribosomal RNA, internal transcribed spacer 2, and large subunit ribosomal RNA". The stretch from base 1 to 122 matches the Rfam family "5.8S ribosomal RNA", at positions 35 to 154 of the family's 154-position model. The record is from RNAcentral.
GAUGAAGAACGCAGCGAAAUGCGAUACUUGGUGUGAAUUGCAGAAUCCCGUGAACCAUCGAGUCUUUGAACGCAAGUUGCGCCCGAAGCCAUCAGGUUGAGGGCACGUCUGCCUGGGCGUCACAUAUCGUUGCCCAAUGCCUAUUGCAGUGCAAUAGGAAUUUCUAGGGCGAAUGAUGGCUUCCCGUGAGCGUUGUUGCCUCGCGGUUGGUUGAAAAUCGAGUCCUUGGUAGGGUGUGCCAUGGUAGAUGGUGGUCGAGUUAGAACGAUACCGAUCAUGUGCAUGCUCCCCAAAAUAUGGCCUCUAUGACCCACACGCGUCUUUUGACGCUCAUGACGAGACCUCAGGUCAGGCGGGGCUACCCGCUGAAUUUAAGCAUAUCAAUAAACGGAGGA